This 466-nucleotide ribosomal RNA is filed under the name uncultured bacterium. Its description in RNAcentral is "partial 16S ribosomal RNA". It matches the Rfam family "Bacterial small subunit ribosomal RNA", at positions 28 to 507 of the family's 1533-position model. The record is from RNAcentral.
GAUGAACGCUGGCGGCGUGCUUAACACAUGCAAGUCGAACGAUGAAGCCCAGCUUGCUGGGUGGAUUAGUGGCGAACGGGUGAGUAACACGUGAGUAACCUGCCCUUAACUCUGGGAUAAGCCUGGGAAACUGGGUCUAAUACCGGAUAGGAGCGUCCACCGCAUGGUGGGUGUUGGAAAGAUGUAUCGGUUUUGGAUGGACUCGCGGCCUAUCAGCUUGUUGGUGAGGUAAUGGCUCACCAAGGCGACGACGGGUAGCCGGCCUGAGAGGGUGACCGGCCACACUGGGACUGAGACACGGCCCAGACUCCUACGGGAGGCAGCAGUGGGGAAUAUUGCACAAUGGGCGCAAGCCUGAUGCAGCGACGCCGCGUGAGGGAUGACGGCCUUCGGGUUGUAAACCUCUUUCAGUAGGGAAGAAGCGAAAGUGACGGUACCUGCAGAAGAAGCACCGGCUAACUACGUG